CAAGAGUCGUUUCGAGUCGAGUUUUGGGUUUUGGUUGUGUGUUUUUUUGUGACGAGAAUCGAGUAGUACAGUGCUACCUGACGCCUGACGCCUAGUCGAGAGGGAGGACAAGGCCAGAGAUUUAUAAUCUAGGGACUAGAGGCCUAGCCUAGGAAGUGCCGAAGAAAGCCAUGCUCUCUAAGGUUAAGCUGUUGUGUGCAAUUAUUGGCCUAAACCAAUUAGAGCGCCAACAAUUGGCGUUAA
This is a long non-coding RNA of Drosophila ananassae, 243 nucleotides long. RefSeq lists it as uncharacterized. The transcript is spliced from 2 exons. Lineage: Eukaryota; Metazoa; Arthropoda; Insecta; Diptera; Drosophilidae. The record is from RefSeq and is a predicted model, not a curated record.